UGGACGUUUGCAUUGUGAUCAGCCCUGUCGACAUUUAAACAGUGCCUACUAUAAGUGCGAAAGCAAUACUUUGCGAAAGACUAUCCCCAGUGGCCGAAGGACAUGGUCAGAUCAGUAGCCUAGGGUCGUGUGUACUCCUUGAUAAAUUUAGUGCCCUUGCCACUAUUGCUCUUAUCCAAGAUAUGCUUUCUAUUCAUGACAUUUUUGCCCAAGCUCUGAUUGAUACAAGUGAUACCCAAUGUUUUAUUUCUUGUUCAUUUACUUGUAAAUUAGAUAUUAGACCUGAACCUUUAAAUGAAGUGUUAGUAGU
RNAcentral lists this long non-coding RNA (310 nucleotides) under Carica papaya (papaya). Its description in RNAcentral is "long non-coding RNA (CPAP_LNC010983)". Lineage: Eukaryota; Viridiplantae; Streptophyta; Magnoliopsida; Brassicales; Caricaceae. The record is from RNAcentral.